RNAcentral lists this ribosomal RNA (253 nucleotides) under uncultured bacterium. RNAcentral's name for it is "partial 16S ribosomal RNA". It matches the Rfam family "Bacterial small subunit ribosomal RNA", at positions 524 to 776 of the family's 1533-position model. The record is from RNAcentral.
UACGUAUGGAGCAAGCGUUAUCCGGAUUUACUGGGUGUAAAGGGAGCGCAGGCGGUCUGGCAAGUCUGAUGUGAAAGGCCGGGGCUCAACCCCGGGACUGCAUUGGAAACUGUCAGACUGGGGUGUCGGAGAGGUAAGCGGAAUUCCUAGUGUAGCGGUGAAAUGCGUAGAUAUUAGGAGGAACACCGGUGGCGAAGGCGGCUUACUGGACGAUGACUGACGCUGAGGCUCGAAAGCGUGGGGAGCAAACAGG